RNAcentral lists this ribosomal RNA (2926 nucleotides) under Staphylococcus pragensis. RNAcentral's name for it is "Staphylococcus petrasii subsp. pragensis 23S ribosomal RNA". It matches the Rfam family "Bacterial large subunit ribosomal RNA". Lineage: Bacteria; Bacillati; Bacillota; Bacilli; Caryophanales; Staphylococcaceae. The record is from RNAcentral.
AGAUUAAGUUAUUAAGGGCGCACGGUGGAUGCCUUGGCACUAGAAGCCGAUGAAGGACGUUACUAACGACGAUAUGCUUUGGGUAGCUGUAAGUAAGCGUUGAUCCAGAGAUUUCCGAAUGGGGGAACCCAACACGAGUUAUGUCGUGUUAUCGACAAGUGAAUUCAUAGCUUGUCAGAAGGCAGACCCGGAGAACUGAAACAUCUUAGUACCCGGAGGAAGAGAAAGAAAAUUCGAUUCCCUGAGUAGCGGCGAGCGAAACGGGAAGAGCCCAAACCAAUAAGCUUGCUUAUUGGGGUUGUAGGACACUCUAUACGGAGUUACAAAGGAAUAUGUUAGACGAAUCAUCUGGAAAGUUGAAUCAAAGAAGGUAAUAAUCCUGUAGUUGAAAACGUAUUCUCUCUUGAGUGGAUCCUGAGUACGACGGAGCACGUGAAAUUCCGUCGGAAUCUGGGAGGACCAUCUCCUAAGGCUAAAUACUCUCUAGUGACCGAUAGUGAACCAGUACCGUGAGGGAAAGGUGAAAAGUACCCCGGAAGGGGAGUGAAAGAGAACUUGAAACCGUGUGCUUACAAGUAGUCAGAGCCCGUUAAUGGGUGAUGGCGUGCCUUUUGUAGAAUGAACCGGCGAGUUACGAUCUGAUGCAAGGUUAAGCAGGAAAUGUGGAGCCGUAGCGAAAGCGAGUCUGAAUAGGGCGUUCAGUAUUUGGUCGUAGACCCGAAACCAGGUGAUCUACCCAUGGUCAGGUUGAAGUUCAGGUAACACUGAAUGGAGGACCGAACCGACUUACGUUGAAAAGUGAGCGGAUGAACUGUGGGUAGCGGAGAAAUUCCAAUCGAACUUGGAGAUAGCUGGUUCUCUCCGAAAUAGCUUUAGGGCUAGCCUCAAGUGAUGAUUAUUGGAGGUAGAGCACUGUUUGGACGAGGGGCCCCUCUCGGGUUACCGAAUUCAGACAAACUCCGAAUGCCAAUUAAUUUAACUUGGGAGUCAGAACAUGGGUGAUAAGGUCCGUGUUCGAAAGGGAAACAGCCCAGACCACCAGCUAAGGUCCCAAAAUAUAUGUUAAGUGGAAAAGGAUGUGGCGUUGCCCAGACAACUAGGAUGUUGGCUUAGAAGCAGCCAUCAUUUAAAGAGUGCGUAAUAGCUCACUAGUCGAGUGACACUGCGCCGAAAAUGUACCGGGGCUAAACAUAUUACCGAAGCUGUGGAUUGUCCUUUGGACAAUGGUAGGAGAGCGUUCUAAGGGCGUUGAAGCAUGAUCGCAAGGACAUGUGGAGCGCUUAGAAGUGAGAAUGCCGGUGUGAGUAGCGAAAGACGGGUGAGAAUCCCGUCCACCGAUUGACUAAGGUUUCCAGAGGAAGGCUCGUCCGCUCUGGGUUAGUCGGGUCCUAAGCUGAGGCCGACAGGCGUAGGCGAUGGAUAACAGGUUGAUAUUCCUGUACCACCUAACAUCGUUUUAAUCGAUGGGGGGACGCAGUAGGAUAGGCGAAGCGUGCUGUUGGAGUGCACGUCCAAGCAGUGAGAUUGAGUGUUAGGCAAAUCCGGCACUCUUAAGAUUGAGCUGUGAUGGGGAGAGGAAAUUGUUUCCUCGAGUCGUUGAUUUCACACUGCCGAGAAAAGCCUCUAGAUAGAUAAUAGGUGCCCGUACCGCAAACCGACACAGGUAGUCAAGAUGAGAAUUCUAAGGUGAGCGAGCGAACUCUCGUUAAGGAACUCGGCAAAAUGACCCCGUAACUUCGGGAGAAGGGGUGCUCUUUAGGGUGCAAGCCCAGAAGAGCCGCAGUGAAUAGGCCCAAGCGACUGUUUAUCAAAAACACAGGUCUCUGCUAAACCGUAAGGUGAUGUAUAGGGGCUGACGCCUGCCCGGUGCUGGAAGGUUAAGAGGAGUGGUUAGCUUCUGCGAAGCUACGAAUCGAAGCCCCAGUAAACGGCGGCCGUAACUAUAACGGUCCUAAGGUAGCGAAAUUCCUUGUCGGGUAAGUUCCGACCCGCACGAAAGGCGUAACGAUUUGGGCACUGUCUCAACGAGAGACUCGGUGAAAUCAUAGUACCUGUGAAGAUGCAGGUUACCCGCGACAGGACGGAAAGACCCCGUGGAGCUUUACUGUAGCCUGAUAUUGAAAUUCGGCACAGCUUGUACAGGAUAGGUAGGAGCCUUUGAAGCGUGAGCGCUAGCUUACGUGGAGGCGUUGGUGGGAUACUACCCUAGCUGUGUUGGCUUUCUAACCCGCACCACUUAUCGUGGUGGGAGACAGUGUCAGGCGGGCAGUUUGACUGGGGCGGUCGCCUCCUAAAAGGUAACGGAGGCGCUCAAAGGUUCCCUCAGAAUGGUUGGAAAUCAUUCAUAGAGUGUAAAGGCAUAAGGGAGCUUGACUGCGAGACCUACAAGUCGAGCAGGGUCGAAAGACGGACUUAGUGAUCCGGUGGUUCCGCAUGGAAGGGCCAUCGCUCAACGGAUAAAAGCUACCCCGGGGAUAACAGGCUUAUCUCCCCCAAGAGUUCACAUCGACGGGGAGGUUUGGCACCUCGAUGUCGGCUCAUCGCAUCCUGGGGCUGUAGUCGGUCCCAAGGGUUGGGCUGUUCGCCCAUUAAAGCGGUACGCGAGCUGGGUUCAGAACGUCGUGAGACAGUUCGGUCCCUAUCCGUCGUGGGCGUAGGAAAUUUGAGAGGAGCUGUCCUUAGUACGAGAGGACCGGGAUGGACAUACCUCUGGUGUACCAGUUGUCGUGCCAACGGCAUAGCUGGGUAGCUAUGUAUGGACGGGAUAAGUGCUGAAAGCAUCUAAGCAUGAAGCCCCCCUCAAGAUGAGAUUUCCCAACUUCGGUUAUAAGAUCCCUCAAAGAUGAUGAGGUUAAUAGGUUCGAGGUGGAAGCGUGGCGACACGUGGAGCUGACGAAUACUAAUCGAUCGAAGACUUAAUCAAUUU